UUGAUAAAGUAUAAAGUAGUAUUCAAAUCAAGACACUAAAUUGAUAACGAGUAUACAUUCAAAUUGUUCUUGUGAGUAUUCAAAUCAAGACACUAAAUUGAUAACGAGUAUACAUUCAAAUUGUUCUUGUGACAUCAUUUUGAUCAAAAAUGUUGCAAUGAUAAAGCCUCAAAAUCAGGGCUGGAUCUGAGUGUAUGCAAACUUGUGAAACUACAAUUUCUACAUCGCAGAGAGCAAAUCAACGCAAUUAAACAAAUUUACGGUGAAAACCCGAUUAAAUUAGGUCAAAUUUCAACAAUCUAACGGGACCAAAAUUAGGUUUAUCAUUUUCUGAAAUUUGAGAUCGACACAAACCUUAGAAAAUGGAGAAAAUCAACGAUUACAAACGAAACAACCCGAUUGAUUGCGAAAUCAAAAUCGAUUUAAGAGGAAAAUCUCAGAAGCUUA
RNAcentral lists this long non-coding RNA (447 nucleotides) under Arabidopsis lyrata. Its description in RNAcentral is "long non-coding RNA (ALYR_LNC000867)". Lineage: Eukaryota; Viridiplantae; Streptophyta; Magnoliopsida; Brassicales; Brassicaceae. The record is from RNAcentral.